CCUACGGGAGGCAGCAGUGGGGAAUAUUGGACAAUGGGCGCAAGCCUGAUCCAGCCAUGCCGCGUGUGUGAAGAAGGCCUUUUGGUUGUAAAGCACUUUAAGCGAGGAGGAGGCUACUUGGAUUAAUACUCUAGGAUAGUGGACGUUACUCGCAGAAUAAGCUCCAGCUAACUCUGUGCCAGCAGCCGCGGUAAU
RNAcentral lists this ribosomal RNA (195 nucleotides) under uncultured bacterium. Its description in RNAcentral is "partial 16S ribosomal RNA". It matches the Rfam family "Bacterial small subunit ribosomal RNA", at positions 338 to 524 of the family's 1533-position model. The record is from RNAcentral.